GACGAACGCUGGCGGCGUGCUUAACACAUGCAAGUCGAACGAAGUGGCGAACGGGUGAGUAAAGCGUAAUCAACUUGCCCUUCAGAGGGGGACAACAGUUGGAAACGACUGCUAAUACCGCAUACUGAAGGAGGGGCUUGCGUCUGAUUAGCUAGUUGGGGGGGUAACGGCCCACCAAGGCGAUGAUCAGUAGCCGGUAUGAUAGGUUGAACGGCCAAAUUGGGACUGGGACACGGCCCAGACUCCUACGGGAGGCAGCAGUGGGGAAUGUUCCGCAAUGGACGAAAGUCUGACGGAGCAACGGCGCGUGAGUGAUGAAGGGCUUCGGGUUGUAAAGCUCUGUUAAUCGGGACGCGGUACUGAAAUAGAAAGCCACGGCUAACUACGUGCCAGCAGCCGCGGUAAUAC
RNAcentral lists this ribosomal RNA (408 nucleotides) under uncultured bacterium. RNAcentral describes it as "partial 16S ribosomal RNA". It matches the Rfam family "Bacterial small subunit ribosomal RNA", at positions 28 to 526 of the family's 1533-position model. The record is from RNAcentral.